Molecule: long non-coding RNA, 497 nt
Filed under: Homo sapiens (human)
Lineage: Eukaryota; Metazoa; Chordata; Mammalia; Primates; Hominidae
Description: HSALNT0390328
Source: RNAcentral
GCUUUAAUGGCUAGGUCGGCUUGGUACCCUGCUUUCGGCUGGGAGGGAUCCGUAAGGCCAUGUGGCUCCACUGCCAAUGUGUAGAUGUGGAAACUGAAGCCCAGAGAGGGUAUGGAACUUGUCCAAGGUCACACAGCUGGUUAAUGGCUUGGUAAGGAAUGGGUUCAGGAGCCCAGAGAGGGUCUGGAACUUGUCCAAGGUCACACAGCUGGUUAGUGGCUUGAUAAGCUCAAGCUCUCCUGACGGCCCUUGUCCCUACAAGCAGCUUCCUCUCCAAGGAGUCCCCUAAGCCUGCUUAUAUGGGGCUUGAGACCUGUGCUGUGAUAAAUCUGACUUGCUUAGGGGUGAGCUAAGGGAUUCCUCCUCUUAGACCCCCCAUCCAUAGCUACCAGGUACUUGACAGGAUGGAAAUGUUUCACCCUCCAAAAGUACCCUGUAAAGGCCCAACCUCGAACCAGAAAGAAUGUGUGUACAGGAAUAAAGGAUUGUGGUUCUUA